UAUCAAGAAAAAUACGAAAAA
RNAcentral lists this non-coding RNA (21 nucleotides) under Caenorhabditis elegans. Lineage: Eukaryota; Metazoa; Nematoda; Chromadorea; Rhabditida; Rhabditidae. The record is from RNAcentral.